This 730-nucleotide ribosomal RNA is filed under the name uncultured bacterium. RNAcentral describes it as "bacterial SSU rRNA". It matches the Rfam family "Bacterial small subunit ribosomal RNA", at positions 771 to 1501 of the family's 1533-position model. The record is from RNAcentral.
AACAGGAUUAGAUACCCUGGUAGUCCACGCCGUAAACGAUGUCGAUUUGGAGGUUGUGCCCUUGAGGCGUGGCUUCCGGAGCUAACGCGUUAAAUCGACCGCCUGGGGAGUACGGCCGCAAGGUUAAAACUCAAAUGAAUUGACGGGGGCCCGCACAAGCGGUGGAGCAUGUGGUUUAAUUCGAUGCAACGCGAAGAACCUUACCUGGUCUUGACAUCCACAGAACUUUCCAGAGAUGGAUUGGUGCCUUCGGGAACUGUGAGACAGGUGCUGCAUGGCUGUCGUCAGCUCGUGUUGUGAAAUGUUGGGUUAAGUCCCGCAACGAGCGCAACCCUUAUCCUUUGUUGCCAGCGGUCCGGCCGGGAACUCAAAGGAGACUGCCAGUGAUAAACUGGAGGAAGGUGGGGAUGACGUCAAGUCAUCAUGGCCCUUACGACCAGGGCUACACACGUGCUACAAUGGCAUAUACAAAGAGAAGCGACCUCGCGAGAGCAAGCGGACCUCAUAAAGUAUGUCGUAGUCCGGAUUGGAGUCUGCAACUCGACUCCAUGAAGUCGGAAUCGCUAGUAAUCGUAGAUCAGAAUGCUACGGUGAAUACGUUCCCGGGCCUUGUACACACCGCCCGUCACACCAUGGGAGUGGGUUGCAAAAGAAGUAGGUAGCUUAACCUUCGGGAGGGCGCUUACCACUUUGUGAUUCAUGACUGGGGUGAAGUCGUAACAAGGUAACC